Molecule: ribosomal RNA, 1360 nt
Filed under: Aegilips sp. ZJUH 20220002
Lineage: Eukaryota; Metazoa; Arthropoda; Insecta; Hymenoptera; Figitidae
Description: 16S ribosomal RNA
Source: RNAcentral
AUAUAAUUUUUAUAAAUAAAUAAAAUAAUAUUUAAAAUUUUUGUGUUAUAGUAUUAUUUAAAAAAUAAUAAUUAUAUUAAUAUUAUAUUGUAUUGUAAAAGAUUAUUAAAUUAAAUAUGUAUUAAGAUAAAUUAAUUAUUUGUACCUUUUGUAUCAGGGUUGAUUAAAAAUUUUUAAAUAAAAUAAAUAUUUCGAAUUUAAAUGAGUUAAUAUUAAAUUUAAUUUAAUAUUAUAAAAUUAUUAAAAAUUUAAUGUUAGUAGUGAAAUGUUAAUCGUAUUUAAUUAUAUCUAAUUUUAUAAUAAAUGAAUUUAAUUCAUUAAUUUAAUUAAUUAUUAGUAUUAAAUUUUUUUAUUAAAUAAUUAUUUUAUUAAAUUAAAAAAAAUUAAAGGAUAAGCUUUAAUUUUAUUAUUAAAAAUAUUUUAUUUAAUUUUUUAAUAAAUAUAUGUGUUAAAAUUAUAAUUUUUUAAAAUUUUGUAAUAAUUUAUAUAAUUUUUAUAUAAAAAAAUUUAAUUAAUUAAAUUUUAAUUUUAUUAUUAUAAUAUAAUAUUUAAUAAUUUUAUUAUUAAAAAUAAUGAUUAAAUUAGUAAAAUAAAUUAAUUAUAUAAAAUAUUUUUUAUUAAAAUAUUAGUUUGAUGAAUUAGGCAAAUAAUGUAUUUACCUGUUUAUUAAAAACAUGGUUUUAAGAAAAUUAAUUUAAAAUCUAAUCUGCUCAAUGAAUAAUUUUAAAUAGCUGCAAUAUAAAUAAUUGUGCAAAGGUAGCAAAAUAAUUUGUUUCAUAAUUGGGAACUAGAAUGAAUGAUUAAAUAAAAUAUUGACUUUAUUAAAUUAAUUAAUAUUAAAUUUUAUUUUUAAGUAAAAAAUCUUAAAUUUUAUUAUUAGACGAUAAGACCCUAUAGAACUUUAUAUUUAUAUUUUGAAUAAUUUAUUGAAAUUUAUUUAUUUUAAAAUUUAAAUAUUUAAUUGGGGGUAUUAAAAAAUAAUUUAAAAUUUUUUUAUUAUUUAAGUUUUUUAUAUAAAUUUUUAUUUUUGAAGAGUGAUUAAUAUAAAAUGAUAGAUUAAGUUACCUUAGGGAUAACAGCGUAAUUUUUUUGGAGAGUUCAUAUUGAUAAAAAAGAUUGCGACCUCGAUGUUGAAUUAAGAUAAAUAAUAAAAGUAGAAUUUUAUUAAUUAAGUCUGUUCGACUUUUAAAAUCUUACAUGAUUUGAGUUAAAAUCGGUGUAAGCCAGAUUGGUUUUUAUCUAUAGUAAAUUAAUUAAUAUUUGUACGAAAGGACUUUAUUUUUUAAACAAUAAUUAUUAAAUUUUAUGAUUUUUAUUAAAUAAAUUAAAAUUAAGGAAUUAAAUAAUUUAAAAAAAUUGA